RNAcentral lists this ribosomal RNA (393 nucleotides) under uncultured bacterium. RNAcentral's name for it is "partial 16S ribosomal RNA". It matches the Rfam family "Bacterial small subunit ribosomal RNA", at positions 523 to 918 of the family's 1533-position model. The record is from RNAcentral.
AUACGGAGGAUGCGAGCGUUAUCCGGAUUUAUUGGGUUUAAAGGGUGCGUAGGCGGUCGGGUAAGCGUAGGGUGAAAGUCCUCUGCUCAACAGAGGAAGUGCCUUCCGAACUGUCCGACUGGAAUGCUCCUGCCGUGGGAGGAAUGUGUGGUGUAGCGGUGAAAUGCAUAGAGAUCACACAGAACACCGAUUGCGAAGGCAUCUCACGAAGGGGCUAUUGACGCUGAGGCACGAAAGCGUGGGGAUCAAACAGGAUUAGAUACCCUGGUAGUCCACGCAGUAAACGAUGAUGACUAACCGUCGGUCAAGACUGAUCGGUGGCCAAGCGAAAGCGAUAAGUCAUCCACCUGGGGAGUACGACCGCAAGGUUGAAACUUAAAGGAAUUGGCGGGG